UGGGCAACCUGCCCCUCUCUCUGGGAUAACCCCGGGAAACCGGAGCUAAUACCGGAUACUCUCGGCCGAUCACAUGGCUGGCCGAGGAAAGGUCCGCCGGUCAGGGAUGGGCCCGCGGCCUAUCAGCUUGUUGGCGAGGUAACGGCUCACCAAGGCGACGACGGGUAGCUGGUCUGAGAGGACGACCAGCCACACUGGAACUGAGACACGGCCCAGACUCCUACGGGAGGCG
This 232-nucleotide ribosomal RNA is filed under the name uncultured bacterium. RNAcentral's name for it is "partial 16S ribosomal RNA". It matches the Rfam family "Bacterial small subunit ribosomal RNA", at positions 118 to 349 of the family's 1533-position model. The record is from RNAcentral.